AGAGCGAACGCUGGCGGCGUGCUUAACACAUGCAAGUCGAGUGCGCAGCUUCCUGUAGCAAUACAGGAAGCCGGCGCACGGCGCACGGGUGCGUAACACGUGGGUAACCUGCCCUCCAAAGGGGGAUAACCCCGCGAAAGCGGGGCUAAUACCGCAUGACAUUCCAGAGACUUCGGUAUUUGGAAUCAAAGCCCGCAAGGGCGUUGGAGGAGGGGCCCGCGGCCGAUUAGCUUGUUGGCGAGGUAAUGGCUCACCAAGGCAAUGAUCGGUA
This 271-nucleotide ribosomal RNA is filed under the name uncultured bacterium. RNAcentral describes it as "partial small subunit ribosomal RNA". It matches the Rfam family "Bacterial small subunit ribosomal RNA", at positions 26 to 285 of the family's 1533-position model. The record is from RNAcentral.